Molecule: ribosomal RNA, 476 nt
Filed under: uncultured bacterium
Lineage: Bacteria
Description: bacterial SSU rRNA
Rfam family: Bacterial small subunit ribosomal RNA
Source: RNAcentral
AUUGAACGCUGGCGGCAGGCCUAACACAUGCAAGUCGAGCGGAUGAUGAGAGCUUGCUCUCUGAUUCAGCGGCGGACGGGUGAGUAAUGCCUAGGAAUCUGCCUGGUAGUGGGGGACAACGUUUCGAAAGGAACGCUAAUACCGCAUACGUCCUACGGGAGAAAGCAGGGGACCUUCGGGCCUUGCGCUAUCAGAUGAGCCUAGGUCGGAUUAGCUAGUUGGUGAGGUAAAGGCUCACCAAGGCGACGAUCCUUAGCUGGUCUGAGAGGAUGAUCAGCCACACUGGGACUGAGACACGGCCCAGACUCCUACGGGAGGCAGCAGUGGGGAAUAUUGGACAAUGGGCGAAAGCCUGAUCCAGCAAUGCCGCGUGAGUGAUGAAGGCCUUAGGGUUGUAAAGCUCUUUUACCCGGGAUGAUAAUGACAGUACCGGGAGAAUAAGCUCCGGCUAACUCCGUGCCAGCAGCCGCGGUAAU